UGGAGAUGUGAUGAUGUUUGUCCACCUAUUCUGCAAUUGAAUGAUGAUUGUAAAACAUGCACUACCAUCUGAUCUCUA
RNAcentral lists this small nucleolar RNA (78 nucleotides) under Olea europaea subsp. europaea. The record is from RNAcentral. Lineage: Eukaryota; Viridiplantae; Streptophyta; Magnoliopsida; Lamiales; Oleaceae.